This is a non-coding RNA of Catharus ustulatus (Swainson's thrush), 435 nucleotides long. The record is from the annotation of a RefSeq genome assembly. Lineage: Eukaryota; Metazoa; Chordata; Aves; Passeriformes; Turdidae.
CCCGCAGGGCUCCGGGCGGCCGUGACCCUGCUGGAGUGCGGGGGGGACCUCCAGCCCCCCGGGGGGUCCCUGACUCUGCUCUGCCGCGCCUCUGGGUUUGAUUUUGGGAGUUUCGCCAUGAUCUGGAUCCGCCAGAGUCCCCAGAAGGGACUGGAAUGGCUCGGAGGGGUCACCAGUGGUGGCAGUGCCUACUACGCGCCCUCGGUCAAGGGUCGGUUCUCGAUCUCCAGGGACAACGGGCAGAGCUCGGUGACGCUGACCAUGAACAACCUCAAGGACGAGGAUUCCGCCGUUUAUUUCUGUGCUAAACAUCAUGGUGGUUAUGAUGAUCCUCUUGAUGCUGGUUAUGUUGGCAAUUUUGGCCCCUGUCCCAUCACUGCAUCAUCACCUGUCCCCACCCAUCCCCACACCCUUCCCCCAAAUCCCAGCCCUUGA